UACGGGAGGCAGCAGUAGGGAAUAUUGCACAAUGGGGGAACACCCUGAUGCAGCGACGCCGCGUGAGUGAUUGAAGUAUUUCGGUAUGUAAAGCUCUAUCAGCAGGGAAGAUAAUGACGGUACCUGCAUAAGAAGCCCCGGCUAACUACGUGCCAGCAGCCGCGGUAAU
This 169-nucleotide ribosomal RNA is filed under the name uncultured rumen bacterium. RNAcentral's name for it is "partial 16S ribosomal RNA". It matches the Rfam family "Bacterial small subunit ribosomal RNA", at positions 340 to 524 of the family's 1533-position model. The record is from RNAcentral.